Molecule: ribosomal RNA, 510 nt
Filed under: uncultured bacterium
Lineage: Bacteria
Description: partial 16S ribosomal RNA
Rfam family: Bacterial small subunit ribosomal RNA
Source: RNAcentral
GAUGAACGCUGGCGGCGUGCUUAACACAUGCAAGUCGAACGAAGAGCGAUGGAUGCUUGCUUCUAUCCAUCUUAGUGGCGAACGGGUGAGUAACGCGUAAUCAACCUGCCCUUCAGAGGGGGACAACAGUUGCAAACGACUGCUAAUACCGCAUACGAUCUAAUCUCGGCAUCGGGGAUAGAUGAAAGGUGGCCUCUACAUGUCAGCUCUCACUGCAGGUGGUGAUUGCGUCGGAUUAGCUAGUUGGAGGGGUAACGGCCCCGCAAGGCGAUGAUCAGUAGCCGGUCUGAGAGGAUGAACGGCCACAUUGGGACUGAGACACGGCCCAGACUCCUACGGGAGGCAGCAGUGGGGAAUCGUCCGCAAUGGACGAAAGUCUGACGGAGCAACGCCGCGUGAGGGAUGACGGCCUUCGGGUUGUAAAGCUCUGUUAAUCGGGACGAAAGGCCUUCUUGCGAAUAGUGAGAAGGAUUGACGGUACCGGAAUAGAAAGCCACGGCUAACUACGUG